UAUUAUUUUGAUUGUAAAUUUGUAUACUAGAGUAGUAUUAGUUAAGAUCUUGAAACUCAAAGAAUUUGGCGGUGUUCAAGUCUUUUCAGAGGAAUCUGUCCUGUAAUCGAUAAUACACGAUAAAUUAUGCUUGAUUUUGUAAUUUCAGUUUGUAUACUUCCGUCAUAAGUUUAUUUUAAUAGAAUUUAAAUUUACUUAAAAUUAAAUGAUAAUAUGUCAGGUCAAGGUGCAGCUUAUAGUUAAGAGGGCGAUGGAUUACAAUAAUGUUAUUUAUAAAUGGAUUUUUUGAUGAAAUUUGAAGAUGAAGGUGGAUUUGAAUGUAAUGGUGUUAAAUUAUGGCAUUAUGAUUUAAGCUCUGGAACAUGUACAUAUCGCCCGUCACUCUCGCUAUAAUGUGAG
RNAcentral lists this ribosomal RNA (399 nucleotides) under Anaulacomera spatulata. Its description in RNAcentral is "partial 12S ribosomal RNA". Lineage: Eukaryota; Metazoa; Arthropoda; Insecta; Orthoptera; Tettigoniidae. The record is from RNAcentral.